This 431-nucleotide ribosomal RNA is filed under the name uncultured bacterium. RNAcentral describes it as "partial 16S ribosomal RNA". It matches the Rfam family "Bacterial small subunit ribosomal RNA", at positions 29 to 507 of the family's 1533-position model. The record is from RNAcentral.
AGCGAACGCUGGCGGCAGGCUUAACACAUGCAAGUCGAGCGCCCCGCAAGGGGAGCGGCAGACGGGAGACUAACACGUGGGAACAUACCUUUCGGUUCGGAACAACUGAGGGAAACUUCAGCUAAUACCGGAUAAGCCCUUACGGGGAAAGAUUUAUCGCCGAAAGAUUGGCCCGCGUCUGAUUAGCUAGUUGGUGAGGUAACGGCUCACCAAGGCGACGAUCAGUAGCUGGUCUGAGAGGAUGAUCAGCCUCACUGGGACUGAGACACGGCCCAGACUCCUACGGGAAGCAGCAGUGGGGAAUAUUGGACAAUGGGGGCAACCCUGAUCCAGCCAUGCCGCGUGAGUGAUGAAGGCCUUAGGGUUGUAAAGCUCUUUUGCCCGGGAAGAUAAUGACGGUACCGGGAGAAUAAGCCCCGGCUAACUUCGUG